This 369-nucleotide ribosomal RNA is filed under the name uncultured soil bacterium. Its description in RNAcentral is "bacterial SSU rRNA". It matches the Rfam family "Bacterial small subunit ribosomal RNA", at positions 26 to 393 of the family's 1533-position model. The record is from RNAcentral.
AGAUUGAACGCUGGCGGCAGGCCUAACACAUGCAAGUCGAGCGGCAGCACGGGUACUUGUACCUGGUGGCGAGCGGCGGACGGGUGAGUAAUGCCUAGGAAUCUGCCUGAUAGUGGGGGGAUAACGUUCGGAAACGGACGCUAAUACCGCAUACGUCCUACGGGAGAAAGUGGGGGAUCUUCGGACCUCACGCUAUCAGAUGAGCCUAGGUCGAUUAGCUAGUGUAGGUAAAGCUACCAAGGCUACGAUCCGUAAUGGUCUGAGAGGAUGAUCAGUCACACUGGAACUGAGACACGGUCCAGACUCCUACGGGAGCAGCAGUGGGAAUAGUUGGACAAGUCGGGACAAAGUCCUAGACUCCGAGCCAGU